UCGGCAUCACCUGACCUUUGAAGGAGGAGUCAGCGCCAUCUUGAGUGAGCAGUCAGGUCUGAGUGAGGAGAGCAGCGUUCUUCAUGUUUGCCCUGAGGAGCAGCAAGCUCCUGGACUCCGGCAGUGGAAUGUUCAGUCUCCACUCCGUCAGAAGAAGAAGAACCAGCGAGAGCCUA
This is a long non-coding RNA of Thalassophryne amazonica, 176 nucleotides long. RefSeq lists it as uncharacterized. Lineage: Eukaryota; Metazoa; Chordata; Actinopteri; Batrachoidiformes; Batrachoididae. The transcript has 3 exons. The record is from RefSeq and is a predicted model, not a curated record.